AACGAACGCUGGCGGCAUGCCUAACACAUGCAAGUCGAACGAGACCUUCGGGCCUAGUUGCGCACGGGUGCGUAACGCCUGGUAACUUGCCCUUAGGUUCGGAACAACUCCCCGAAAGGGGUGUUAAUACCGGUUAAUCUCAUCGGACCAAAGAUUUAUCGCGUUUGGCUGGGCCCGCGUUGGUUUAGCGAGUUGGUAGGGUAAUAGCCUGCCAAGGCGACGAUCCAUAGCUGGUCGGUGAGGAUGCUCAGCCGCACUGGGGCUGAGGCACGGACCAGACUCCUACGGAGGGGAGGAGUAGAGUAUAUUGGGGGAUGGGCGAUGGCCUGGUAAAGCAGUGCCGGGUGUGUGAGGAAGGCCUUAGGAUUGCAAAGCUCUUUUAGCCGAGGUGAUAAUGACAGUAACGGGAGAAUAAGCACCGGCUAACUACGUG
This 433-nucleotide ribosomal RNA is filed under the name uncultured bacterium. RNAcentral's name for it is "partial 16S ribosomal RNA". It matches the Rfam family "Bacterial small subunit ribosomal RNA", at positions 29 to 507 of the family's 1533-position model. The record is from RNAcentral.